GUUUGCACUUGUCGGGGAAGGGUGAGAACCUUCGAUUAAGGUUCGACUCGAGCGAAAGAACGUUGCCAACGGUAACGGCCCGUAGGGUGAGGAGUGAAGCGACGCGCGCAGCGCUGAGUCAUCCUUCCCCCACCACCA
RNAcentral lists this small RNA (138 nucleotides) under Salmonella enterica subsp. enterica serovar Typhimurium. RNAcentral's name for it is "RtT RNA". It matches the Rfam family "RtT RNA". From Rfam's summary of the family: This family represents a bacterial cis-regulatory element known as RtT RNA. Lineage: Bacteria; Pseudomonadati; Pseudomonadota; Gammaproteobacteria; Enterobacterales; Enterobacteriaceae. The record is from RNAcentral.